RNAcentral lists this long non-coding RNA (5370 nucleotides) under Nicotiana tabacum (common tobacco). RNAcentral describes it as "long non-coding RNA (NTAB_LNC001800)". Lineage: Eukaryota; Viridiplantae; Streptophyta; Magnoliopsida; Solanales; Solanaceae. The record is from RNAcentral.
ACAAUUGCAGUCCCGAUCUGGUUGGUUAUGCUGAUGCUGGGUAUUUAUCUGACCCACACAAGGCUCGAUCUCAAACAGGUUAUGUGUUUACCUGUGGAGGCACUGUCAUAACUUGACGAUCGACUAAGCAAUCAAUUGUGGCUACUUCAUCUAAUCAUGCUGAGAUAAUUGCUAUUCAUGAAGCAAGUCGAGAGUGUGUGUGGUUGAGGUUUAUAAUACAUCUUAUUCGAGACAAAUAUGGUUUGAAAUGUGACAAGUUACCCAUAAUUUUGUAUGAAGAUAAUGCAGCAUGCAUAGCUCAAUUGAAGGGAGGAUUCAUAAAAGGAGAUAGAACAAAGCACAUUUCACCUAAAGUAUUUUUCACACAUGAUCUUCAAAAAGAAUGGUGAUAUCAAAUGUACAAACAGAUUCGUUCAAGUGAUAAUAUGGCUGAUUUGUUCACAAAAUACUCUACCAACGUCAACCUUCAAGAAGCUAGUGUACAAAAUCGGGAUGCGAAGGCUCAAUGAUGUGAAUUGAUGCUUUCAUCAGGGGGAGUUAAUGCGCGUUGCACUCUUUUUCCCUUACAAGGUUUUGUCCCACUGGGUUUUCCUUGAAAGAUUUUUAACGAGGCAACCAAAAGACGUAUUAUUAGAGAUGUGUACUCUUUUUCCUUUUCUAGAAUUUUUUUCCACUGGGUUUUAUUUUAGUUAAGGUUUUAAUGAGGCAUAUUACUUAUCGAGUAGACAUUUAAGGGGGUGUGUUAUGAAUAGAAUUCUGUUUAGAGUGAAUGUCUAUCUUAUAGAGAGUUUUACUUUGUGGAUAAGUCAUUUUUCUCCUAUAAAUAGAGGGGUCUUACCCCAUUGUAAAUCAUCCCAAAAUUCAAUAAGAAUUUCUUCUCUCUCUUUCUCUGCAAUAUUGUUCAUCUACUUUUAUUGUUCAUCACAAGAUUGAAAUUAUUCGGAAUUGUACAAUGACGAUAAAUUUUGUAUGUAUAUGAAUUGUGAUGUUUGCCAAACUUUUAUUUAAUUUUCGAAAACGACUCCAAUUAUAUAUUGAGGUAGCUGAAAUUUUAUAAUCGAGAAAAUUGAAAAACGCAACCUAGAAUACUUUCGCCAUCAUUAUUAAGAAUAUCAAACCAGAUUGCAAUUUAAAUAUAGCAAAAUUAAGGCAAAAUACAUAAGUUACCCUGAACUAUGGACUAAAUCCAUGUUACACACUUUUUGUGGACGAAAAUUACUUUACACAUUCAACCUUUCCAGAUUGUGCCUAAGACACACCUCUUUAUCUAAGUGGCAGGUGCAUGUUUUACAAACAAAAUAAGGCGUCUGAACUAUAAAAACUGUACAUCUCAUGCUUUAUUUAAAGGGUUCAGAUUUAAUAAAACUUAUCCAACAGUUAAAUAAAUUUUCUUUUUGUCCUUUUCCAAUAUCUUCCUUUUUUUAUUUUUCUAAAAUAAUUUGGUUCAAGUUGGAGAUAAUAUAGAUGUUUACUAUCCAUUUUAUCCACUUUCAAUUAAGAAAUCUGUUAAAAUUGUAAUAGAUCGAGGAAAAAUAUCUAGAAAAAUCGAUUCAGGAAGAAAUUUUUAACAGUGUAGAAGAAUUUGUAAUGAAAUCUUCAAGUGAGAUUAGAAGAACAAUGUAGAAGAAUCUUCUCUUCUUUUUUUCCUUUUCAAUGGGGCAGCCAUGGAGAAAACCCACUUGUUAUAUCUGAAAAAUUUUCAACAAAAAAAAAUGCAUCAGAAGGUAGGACCAGUUGUUUAGGGUUUCUAUUUCUUUUGUUUGAAUUGUAAGGUGGAGGUCUGAGUUCUUUGGUGGUCGGUGACAAUGGAGAUACUGAGAAGGCUGUGGAAGGUGAGUAAUGGUGAUGGGACGGUGAAAACUAGGUUAUAUUUUUCAUCUAUCUAUAAUUUUUUCUUGAAUAUGUGUAUGUUAAUUGAUGAAAAAUGAAAGAGAAAUGUUGAUGAAGAAAGAGAUAUGAGCUGAAAAGCUCUGAUUGAAGGCACGAUGAAGCCUCAAGGAGAUGAGUUUCUUUCCAUUUUUGCUUUUUGUUAAAAAAAAUUGGGUGGGGUUUGUUUUUCUUUUUCUUUUUCAUUUUUUUAAGUUAAUGACACGUGUCGUUGUAUGACUGGUGCGUGAUAUUACACAUGUUUUGAAAAACUGGUCAAGAAAAAAGUUGUGUGUUUUAGGGACACUCUGAAAUGAUUGAGUGUGUAAGAUAAUUUUCGUCCGCAAAAAGUGUAUAACAGGGAUUUGGUCCAUAGCUCAGGGGGUAACCUAUGUAUUUUGCCCAAAAUUAAUAAUGUUCGAAGACAACGUAGAAUGGAAUGACAAAGACAUAUAUAAUUAAAUAUGUCAAGAUUAAGAAUUUUCAAAAGAAGAAUAUUUUGCAUGGAUUUGAUGUUUGAAUUUGAGAAAAUGCAUAAAGUACCUGUUAAACUUGUCCGAAAAAUUACUUACACACCUAAAUUUUACGGGCGUUCUUUUACCUCCUUAUUCUAAACUUAAGUGAAUUUAAUACUCUCUUGAGUGAUGACCUGGCGUGAAAAGUAUAGUUCAUUUCGUAGAUGCGUGUUGUAUACGGUAAAAAUAAGAGGAUCCGAUUUUGUGAUCAUUAUGGCAUUUCGUGAGACCGCCCCUGAAGCCUCAAGACCCAGCUCGAGGUUCGACCCCGAGGGUUCUUAAUGAUCGACCUCGAGGUAGUGCAAAUCAAAAACUAUGAUGGACAAACGGGAAGUUUUCAAGGCACGUGAUUAAAGCUAACAAAGUCUAUUAGACUAGUUCAAGCCCGUACCGUGACAUUAAAUGGCUGUACCAACCUCAUAUCUUUGUAAUAAAUACAUUUGUACUAUGUUGGGAUUCUCCCUCAUAUAUAAAGGGGACCCUUGUCAUUUUGUAACAAAACACAACAUUCAAUACAAGAACAAGAACAUUAUCUGCUCUCUAACUUAAACACAUUCUCCCUUGAUUCUAUUAUUUACGUUUAUUGCUUACAUUUACUAUGUUCUAUUAAUUGUUCUUCAUUUAUUGCUCACUAGUCUUAAAGUACGCGCGUUGCGCGUGUAACCUAUCUAAAUGAGUAUAAAACUUUUAAAAAUUUAUAUAAUAUUAUUUUUGAAUUAAAAUAAGUGACUGAAUUUAUUUUAACAAAAAUAAAUUUCAUAUUUUUGUUAAAUGUCAUUCUUUUAUAUUAAUUUCAUAUCAAAAUAGUCAUCUAGGUACCAUGUAUUCUAAGACAAGUUAACUACAAAGAGAAAAAAAUUAGCGACAAAUAAAUUAUGUAGUUAAAUAAUAAAAUUCAUCGCUAUCCUACUUAGUGACAGAAUCAGUUAUAUAUUACAAAAAAUCCUAUUAGCUAUAAGAUGAGUUUAGUAACUAAUUCAUGUUUAAAAGUUAAAUUAUGUAACAAACUUUCUUAGUAAUAAUAUUAGGUUCUUUUUUACCAAAAAAUAAAAGUCCUUUUCCAUUUAUUUAUUUUAACAUAUGCAUUGAGGUAAUUUAGGUAUUUCUGUAAAUUAAAUUAUGAUAAUUAAUUUUUUUAUCACAAAUUAAUGAUUACUAUUUUUCAACAAUAAUUACUAUUUCAAAACCUAACGUCGUAGUAAAUUUUAACGAAUUUAACAACCAAGCUUCUAAGAAAAUACUUAUGAUUUAAGUUUUUAAAACAACAAAUAAAUCAUAUGAAAGAAAAAUAAAGGCAAAAUUGGUCUUUAUGAUUAAACAAGGACAAAGAAUAAAAAAUAUCACACAAAAACGUGAAUUUUCCUUGUUGGAAACAAACAAAAAAAUUUCCUCCGUACUUUUUUUGUAUUCUUUUAUGUCUUAAUAUAUUGUAUUCUUAUUAGGAGAAGAUAUCAAACACUAAAUUAUAUUAAAUUUUUUUAAUUUAGAACUCCUAAAUAUGGGGAAAGUUUUUUUAUUUUAUAAUUUUGUCCAAUGUAAAAUAUGUUUUUAAAGGGUAAAAAAGGCGAUCGACAUUUCGCUAAGGGUCUUUGUGCUUUUAAUAUAGUAUAGAUUAUUGAUCAUAAAGAGCCUUCAUCAAAGCUCUCAAAACUGUUAGUCCUUCGUCGGUUGUCCAUAGCUUAGUAUCGAGCUCGGCAUCGAGGCCCCGAUUCUCAGCCACUCGGUUUGCUUAAACAUAUUGCUUUCAUGUUCUUAUUUUAUUUUUUAGUCUCAUACUUGUCACACCUCCUUUUACACACCCGAGGGUAUAUGAGAGUUUUUUCAAUUAAAGUGACAUUAAUUGAAAUGAGAUUAAUUAAAUUAUCUGAGUCGCCACUUGGAAUAAAUUAUUUGGUGUCCCAAGUCACCGGUUUAUUUUAAAUCCCAAAUCGAGGAAGUUUUUGACUUUAUUUAAAAGUCUGCGAACCAGAAAUUCUAAGUAAAGAAUUCUAAUUACUCAUUUUAGGAUCUAUAUGCAUUUACCUUUUACCGCUUUUAAUCACUUGAUUUAUUAGUAAUUAAAGAAUUGAGUUACGCGUACGUAUACUCAUUUUCCUUGGCGCGUCAAAAAUCAUGUCAUGCGAACGUGUCCACAAUUAAUGACGCUUUGUUUAUUUUAUUAAGAAAAGUUUGAUUGAAGUUGCGCGAACGCAUCCCUCGAGUCUUUUUUUUAGAAUCAAAUUCGCAAUUAUGUUACGCGAACGUAAACAUAAUCACGAUGAUUUAUUAAAAGCGUGCUUAAAAAUAUACUAGGUGUAUGUAAAUUAUUCUAUGGAGAAUUGUCCUAUAUGUUAGAUUUAAGAAAAAGCUGGACCAACUAAAUUCAACCCAAAUGCAUGGCCUAAAUGGCUAAAAUGACAAAAAGAAAUGAAAACCUCAAAAUUAAUGAAAUGGUGCGCACGUUUAAAAUCUAUUGUGCCUAUUCCAAUAUUUGCUUUGAAAUUUGUUUUCAAGAAAUCUAGAACCUUAACAAAUUACAACCAACAAUCACCUGGUCCAUUCCAUACUUUCUAGAUAGUCUAAAUUUCAAGUUAAGAAGUACAAUUUAAUAUACUAACUCAAUGAUGAUAAGGCAUAAACACAUAAAUAAAGAAAAUUAAAUUAAACUAACUAAUAUGCUCAUGCUAAGAAACAAAGCUUCAUUCUCAUUUGCAACACAAAAAGAAGAACGAAAAAUAAUAUCUUAACCAAAUGUAGAGUAUGACACAACCAGCAAACAAAUCAUGUAUAUCCUCAUUUUUUCAAACAAAAAAAAACGUGAAGUUUAAAAAUUGAGGUAAAAGAAUAUACCUCAUCUUUUCCAAUAAAUGGUACUCCUGUACAUCUAGUCACCAAAUCCACUAUCCACCGAGGGAACACAACUGCUUCCUUCUUCGUCUAGACCGGAACUGAAGCUAGCGAACGGAAAACACUGACGACCUCGAAUUCUAAGUUUUACAAGCAGAACGAG